RNAcentral lists this ribosomal RNA (2640 nucleotides) under Escherichia coli. RNAcentral's name for it is "partial 23S ribosomal RNA". It matches the Rfam family "Bacterial large subunit ribosomal RNA". The record is from RNAcentral. Lineage: Bacteria; Pseudomonadati; Pseudomonadota; Gammaproteobacteria; Enterobacterales; Enterobacteriaceae.
AAACAUCUAAGUACCCCGAGGAAAAGAAAUCAACCGAGAUUCCCCCAGUAGCGGCGAGCGAACGGGGAGGAGCCCAGAGCCUGAAUCAGUGUGUGUGUUAGUGGAAGCGUCUGGAAAGGCGCGCGAUACAGGGUGACAGCCCCGUACACAAAAAUGCACAUACUGUGAGCUCGAUGAGUAGGGCGGGACACGUGGUAUCCUGUCUGAAUAUGGGGGGACCAUCCUCCAAGGCUAAAUACUCCUGACUGACCGAUAGUGAACCAGUACCGUGAGGGAAAGGCGAAAAGAACCCCGGCGAGGGGAGUGAAAAAGAACCUGAAACCGUGUACGUACAAGCAGUGGGAGCCUCUUUUAUGGGGUGACUGCGUACCUUUUGUAUAAUGGGUCAGCGACUUAUAUUCUGUAGCAAGGUUAACCGAAUAGGGGAGCCGAAGGGAAACCGAGUCUUAACUGGGCGUUAAGUUGCAGGGUAUAGACCCGAAACCCGGUGAUCUAGCCAUGGGCAGGUUGAAGGUUGGGUAACACUAACUGGAGGACCGAACCGACUAAUGUUGAAAAAUUAGCGGAUGACUUGUGGCUGGGGGUGAAAGGCCAAUCAAACCGGGAGAUAGCUGGUUCUCCCCGAAAGCUAUUUAGGUAGCGCCUCGUGAAUUCAUCUCCGGGGGUAGAGCACUGUUUCGGCAAGGGGGUCAUCCCGACUUACCAACCCGAUGCAAACUGCGAAUACCGGAGAAUGUUAUCACGGGAGACACACGGCGGGUGCUAACGUCCGUCGUGAAGAGGGAAACAACCCAGACCGCCAGCUAAGGUCCCAAAGUCAUGGUUAAGUGGGAAACGAUGUGGGAAGGCCCAGACAGCCAGGAUGUUGGCUUAGAAGCAGCCAUCAUUUAAAGAAAGCGUAAUAGCUCACUGGUCGAGUCGGCCUGCGCGGAAGAUGUAACGGGGCUAAACCAUGCACCGAAGCUGCGGCAGCGACGCUUAUGCGUUGUUGGGUAGGGGAGCGUUCUGUAAGCCUGUGAAGGUGUACUGUGAGGUAUGCUGGAGGUAUCAGAAGUGCGAAUGCUGACAUAAGUAACGAUAAAGCGGGUGAAAAGCCCGCUCGCCGGAAGACCAAGGGUUCCUGUCCAACGUUAAUCGGGGCAGGGUGAGUCGACCCCUAAGGCGAGGCCGAAAGGCGUAGUCGAUGGGAAACAGGUUAAUAUUCCUGUACUUGGUGUUACUGCGAAGGGGGGACGGAGAAGGCUAUGUUGGCCGGGCGACGGUUGUCCCGGUUUAAGCGUGUAGGCUGGUUUUCCAGGCAAAUCCGGAAAAUCAAGGCUGAGGCGUGAUGACGAGGCACUACGGUGCUGAAGCAACAAAUGCCCUGCUUCCAGGAAAAGCCUCUAAGCAUCAGGUAACAUCAAAUCGUACCCCAAACCGACACAGGUGGUCAGGUAGAGAAUACCAAGGCGCUUGAGAGAACUCGGGUGAAGGAACUAGGCAAAAUGGUGCCGUAACUUCGGGAGAAGGCACGCUGAUAUGUAGGUGAAGCGACUUGCUCGUGGAGCUGAAAUCAGUCGAAGAUACCAGCUGGCUGCAACUGUUUAUUAAAAACACAGCACUGUGCAAACACGAAAGUGGACGUAUACGGUGUGACGCCUGCCCGGUGCCGGAAGGUUAAUUGAUGGGGUUAGCGGUAACGCGAAGCUCUUGAUCGAAGCCCCGGUAAACGGCGGCCGUAACUAUAACGGUCCUAAGGUAGCGAAAUUCCUUGUCGGGUAAGUUCCGACCUGCACGAAUGGCGUAAUGAUGGCCAGGCUGUCUCCACCCGAGACUCAGUGAAAUUGAACUCGCUGUGAAGAUGCAGUGUACCCGCGGCAAGACGGAAAGACCCCGUGAACCUUUACUAUAGCUUGACACUGAACAUUGAGCCUUGAUGUGUAGGAUAGGUGGGAGGCUUUGAAGUGUGGACGCCAGUCUGCAUGGAGCCGGCCUUGAAAUACCACCCUUUAAUGUUUGAUGUUCUAACGUUGGCCCCUGAUCGGGGUUGCGGACAGUGUCUGGUGGGUAGUUUGACUGGGGCGGUCUCCUCCUAAAGAGUAACGGAGGAGCACGAAGGUUGGCUAAUCCUGGUCGGACAUCAGGAGGUUAGUGCAAUGGCAUAAGCCAGCUUGACUGCGAGCGUGACGGCGCGAGCAGGUGCGAAAGCAGGUCAUAGUGAUCCGGUGGUUCUGAAUGGAAGGGCCAUCGCUCAACGGAUAAAAGGUACUCCGGGGAUAACAGGCUGAUACCGCCCAAGAGUUCAUAUCGACGGCGGUGUUUGGCACCUCGAUGUCGGCUCAUCACAUCCUGGGGCUGAAGUAGGUCCCAAGGGUAUGGCUGUUCGCCAUUUAAAGUGGUACGCGAGCUGGGUUUAGAACGUCGUGAGACAGUUCGGUCCCUAUCUGCCGUGGGCGCUGGAGAACUGAGGGGGGCUGCUCCUAGUACGAGAGGACCGGAGUGGACGCAUCACUGGUGUUCGGGUUGUCAUGCCAAUGGCACUGCCCGGUAGCUAAAUGCGGAAGAGAUAAGUGCUGAAAGCAUCUAAGCACGAAACUUGCCCCGAGAUGAGUUCUCCCUGAGACUUUAAGUCUCCUGAAGGAACGUUGAAGACGACGACGU